GGAGGGGUGCAAGCGUUGUUCGGAAUUAUUGGGCGUAAAGAGCGUGUAGGGCGGUUCGGUAAGUCAGAUGUGAAAGCCCUGGGCUCAACCCAGGAAGUGCAUUUGAAACUACCAGACUUGAGUACGGGAGAGGAGGGGGGAAUUCCCGGUGUAGAGGUGAAAUUCGUAGAUAUCGGGAGGAAUACCAGUGGCGAAGGCGCCCCUCUGGACCGAUACUGACGCUGAGACGCGAAAGCGUGGGGAGCAAACAGGAUUAGAUACCCUGGUAGUCCACGCCGUAAACGAUGAGCACUAGGUGUAGCGGGUAUUGACCCCUGCUGUGCCGUAGCUAACGCAUUAAGUGCUCCGCCUGGGGACUACGGUCGCAAAGACUA
This 374-nucleotide ribosomal RNA is filed under the name uncultured organism. Its description in RNAcentral is "partial 16S ribosomal RNA". It matches the Rfam family "Bacterial small subunit ribosomal RNA", at positions 526 to 896 of the family's 1533-position model. The record is from RNAcentral.